AUAGCGUAUAUUAAAGUUGUUGCAGUUAAAAAGCUCGUAGUUGGAUUUUGGGUCGCCAGGCGGGUGGGUCCACCGCAAGGUGUUUUUUGUACCGAGCCCGCCGGUGCCAUUUCGUUUCCCGAGAACGGCCUCGGGUGCCCUUUACUGUGGUGCCCGGGUCGAUUAAUUCAUUUUCGGGACAGUUUACUGUGAAAAAAUUAGGGUGUUCAAAGCAGGCAAUAUCGCUUGAAUAGUUCAGCAUGGAAUAAUGGAAUAGGACAUUGGUUCUAUUUUGUUGGUUUCUAGGACCAAAGUAAUGAUUAAUAGGGUCAGUUGGGGGCAUUAGUAUUUAAUUGUUAGAGGUGAAAUUCUUGGAUUUAUGAAAGACUAACUUCUGCGAAAGCAUUUGCCAAGGAUGUUUUCAUUAAUCAAGAACGAAAGUUAGGGGAUCGAAGAUGAUCAGAUACCGUCGUAGUCCUAACCAUAAACUAUGCCGACUAGGGAUUGGUGGAUGUUUGAAUUUUGAAUGACUCCAUCAGCACCUUAUGAGAAAUCAAAGUCUUUGGGUUCCGGGGGGA
RNAcentral lists this ribosomal RNA (557 nucleotides) under Dermocystidium sp. Its description in RNAcentral is "SSU rRNA". It matches the Rfam family "Eukaryotic small subunit ribosomal RNA", at positions 594 to 1122 of the family's 1831-position model. Lineage: Eukaryota; Ichthyosporea; Dermocystida. The record is from RNAcentral.